GCCUGCCCAGUGAAUCUUUUAACGGCCGCGGUAUCCUAACCGUGCAAAGGUAGCGUAAUCAUUUGUUCUUUAAAUAAGGACUUGUAUGAACGGCACCAUGAGGAACGACUUGUCUCUCGUACUAAGUCUAUGAAACUGACCUCCAAGUACAAACGCUUGAAUGAAUACACAAGACAAGAAGACCCUGUGGAGCUUAAAACCCAUCAGCCCACCAAUUAUCCAACUGAGCUGCGGUUUUUAGUUGGGGCGACUUUGGAGCAAAACAAAACCUCCAAACUACUUUACCUUAGGCGGCCGCGCCGAUACCCCCAUCAAUUAAUUGACCCAAUAAAAUUGAUUAAUGAACCAAGUUACCCCAGGGAUAACAGCGCAAUCUUCUUCUAGAGUCCCUAUCGACAAGAAGGUUUACGACCUCGAUGUUGGAUCAGGAUAUCCAAAUAGUGCAGCCGCUAUUAAAGGUUCGUUUGUUCAACGAUUAAUAAUCCUACGUGAUCUGAGUUCAGACCGG
This 508-nucleotide ribosomal RNA is filed under the name Amphisbaena fuliginosa. Its description in RNAcentral is "partial 16S ribosomal RNA". It matches the Rfam family "Bacterial large subunit ribosomal RNA", at positions 1857 to 2619 of the family's 2925-position model. Lineage: Eukaryota; Metazoa; Chordata; Lepidosauria; Squamata; Amphisbaenidae. The record is from RNAcentral.